This 612-nucleotide long non-coding RNA is filed under the name Equus asinus (donkey). RNAcentral describes it as "lncRNA (ENSEASG00005029921.1)". Lineage: Eukaryota; Metazoa; Chordata; Mammalia; Perissodactyla; Equidae. The record is from RNAcentral.
ACUUGCUGUUGCUGUUAUUUUCUCCAGAGAAUUCUAAGAGAUUACAAAGACCUGAGGAGACUUUUUGAAAAAAUGCGCAUAAACUGAUUGGAUUCAACAAUCUAACUUCCUCUGGGGCUACUGAAAUGAGACUGCCCCACCUCUUCCCUGGAGGCUUCCAGCUCUGUCAUGGCCCUCCAGUGACUUCCUGUUGACAGUGUCCUUGGGAUGGAAUCACUCCAUCAACUCCUCUAAAGGACAGCGGGCUCCCGAGGCCCGGGGCGAUGGGCGCCGCCGCUGCAUGGACCCGCGCUGCUGCGCGUCAGGCUCCUGUUAGACUUGUGCCUGCUCUGGCGGGGAGGAAACUGCUCUCUGGAAGUACGCUCGUGACCUGUGCAAAAUGAAUUCACUUUUCCACGGCACCAGAGGACCAUUAGUAAAUUCAUUGCCCAGAAUACCCCGCUGGUGUCCUGGAGGAUGGAAUUGGUGUCACAUGGAUGCAGUGGUGACAGCGGACCUGCUCCACUGUGCCUUCCAGUUGCCUUUGGGGUCAGGUCCCAAUGCUGAGCACGCCCACGAGCGCUGCUGGUCAGCCUCUUUUCCAGCCAUCCUCCACAGGCCCCCAGGGUUCCU